UACGUAGGGGCGAGCGUUAUCCGGAAUUACUGGGCGUAAAGGGUGCGUAGGCGGUCUUUCAAGCCAGAAGUGAAAGGCUACGGCUCAACCGUAGUAAGCUUUUGGAACUGUAAGACUUGAGUGCAGGAGAGGAGAGUGGAAUUCCUAGUGUAGCGGUGAAAUGCGUAGAGAUCGGGAGGAACACCAGUGGCGAAGGCGGGUAACUGGACUGCAACUGACGCUGAGGCGCGAAGGUGUGGGGAGCAAACAGGAUUAGAUACCCUGGUAGUCCCUGA
This 275-nucleotide ribosomal RNA is filed under the name uncultured prokaryote. RNAcentral's name for it is "partial 16S ribosomal RNA". It matches the Rfam family "Bacterial small subunit ribosomal RNA", at positions 524 to 800 of the family's 1533-position model. The record is from RNAcentral.